GGAUGAACGCUGGCGGCGUGCCUAAUACAUGCAAGUCGAGCGAACAGACGAGGAGCUUGCUCCUCUGACGUUAGCGGCGGACGGGUGAGUAACACGUGGAUAACCUACCUAUAAGACUGGGAUAACUUCGGGAAACCGGAGCUAAUACCGGAUAAUAUAUUGAACCGCAUGGUUCAAUAGUGAAAGACGGUUUUGCUGUCACUUAUAGAUGGAUCCGCGCCGCAUUAGCUAGUUGGUAAGGUAACGGCUUACCAAGGCAACGAUGCGUAGCCGACCUGAGAGGGUGAUCGGCCACACUGGAACUGAGACACGGUCCAGACUCCUACGGGAGGCAGCAGUAGGGAAUCUUCCGCAAUGGGCGAAAGCCUGACGGAGCAACGCCGCGUGAGUGAUGAAGGUCUUCGGAUCGUAAAACUCUGUUAUUAGGGAAGAACAAAUGUGUAAGUAACUAUGCACGUCUUGACGGUACCUAAUCAGAAAGCCACGGCUAACUACGUGCCAGCAGCCGCGGUAAUACGUAGGUGGCAAGCGUUAUCCGGAAUUAUUGGGCGUAAAGCGCGCGUAGGCGGUUUUUUAAGUCUGAUGUGAAAGCCCACGGCUCAACCGUGGAGGGUCAUUGGAAACUGGAAAACUUGAGUGCAGAAGAGGAAAGUGGAAUUCCAUGUGUAGCGGUGAAAUGCGCAGAGAUAUGGAGGAACACCAGUGGCGAAGGCGACUUUCUGGUCUGUAACUGACGCUGAUGUGCGAAAGCGUGGGGAUCAAACAGGAUUAGAUACCCUGGUAGUCCACGCCGUAAACGAUGAGUGCUAAGUGUUAGGGGGUUUCCGCCCCUUAGUGCUGCAGCUAACGCAUUAAGCACUCCGCCUGGGGAGUACGACCGCAAGGUUGAAACUCAAAGGAAUUGACGGGGACCCGCACAAGCGGUGGAGCAUG
RNAcentral lists this ribosomal RNA (933 nucleotides) under Staphylococcus epidermidis. RNAcentral describes it as "bacterial SSU rRNA". It matches the Rfam family "Bacterial small subunit ribosomal RNA", at positions 27 to 941 of the family's 1533-position model. The record is from RNAcentral. Lineage: Bacteria; Bacillati; Bacillota; Bacilli; Caryophanales; Staphylococcaceae.